RNAcentral lists this long non-coding RNA (3797 nucleotides) under Sus scrofa (pig). RNAcentral describes it as "lncRNA (ENSSSCG00050065217.1)". Lineage: Eukaryota; Metazoa; Chordata; Mammalia; Artiodactyla; Suidae. The record is from RNAcentral.
UUUUUGGCCACCCUGCGGCAUAUGGCGUUCCCAUGCCAGGGAUCAGAUCCAAGCCACAGUUGUGACCUGCAUCACAGCUGUGACAACGUUGGAUCCUUUAACCCACCGUGCCGGGCUGGGAUGGAACUUGUGUCCUAGCACUGCAGAGACACCAAUGAUCCUCUUGUGCCACAGCAGGAACUCCCAAUUGACUUGUUUUAUAUUUGAUAGAAAAAAAGUAGAAAUCGAACAUUAGAAUUAUAGGUAAAUUCUGGGAGUUCCUGUCAUGGUGCGGCUAGUGGAUUAAGAAUCCAACUGGAAUCCAUGAGGAUGUGAGUUCAACCCCUGGCCUCACUCCGUGAGUUAAAGGAUCUGGCAUUGCUGUGGCAUAGGCUGGCAGCUACAGCUCCGAUUUGACCCCUAGACUGGGAACUUCCAUAUGCUGUGAGUGUGGCACCAAACAGCAAAUAAAACAAAACAAAAACAAAAACAAAAACCCUAGAGAAAUGUUUUAGUAUGCACACAUGUGCAUGCACACACACACACACACACACACACGUUUAUUUAACUUAACAUAAAUUAAACAUCCCCCCACCAUUGGACUCCUUUGGAGGAUAUAAGGGAACCAACUCAUUUCUUCUGAAAACGGUUCGCAAUGUAAAAAGUCAAAUAUUCAACUUCUCGGAGUUCCCAUCAUGGUGCAGUGGAAAUGAAUCCGACUAGGAACCACAAGGUUGCGGGUUCGAUUCCUGGCCUCGCUCAGUGGGUCAAGGAUCUGGUGCUGCCAUGAGCUGUAGUGUAGGUCACAAACGUGGCUCAGAUCUGGCGUUGCUGUGGUUGUAGGCCGGUAACUGUAGCUCCUAUUAGACCCCUAGCCUGGGAAUCUCCAUAUGCUGUGGGUUAGGCUCUAAAAAGCAAAAAAAAAAAAAAAAAAAAAAUUAACUCUCUUUCCUGUGUGAACUGUAUUUUGGGGAAACUAAAUUGUUGUUGAGGGAAUGUUUUUCUCUAGAAAAAUUCCAGCCAAUAAACAAAAAAGAAAUAAUAGAUUAGAAUGUCACCAUUUUUGCAAACCCCAAAUCAAAGGAUGAAUCCAAGUAGUGAUUAUCAAUGGUUGCUAACAUCCCUAAAAAAGAGCCAACAAAAUAUUAUGUUUCUCCUGAUGGAAGUACACAAUACUACUUAGGAAGUAGCUUUGCCAAAAAACUGAACCUGUAUCAAACCAAGCCUCUAGAGCUAGCUACAAGUUUACAGGAAAUACAAAGGCAAGAGAAACAUGUUAGACGAUACUAAGAGGAGGGAAGUGUAGAAAAGUCCAGAUAACUGAAAAUUUUAUAGGCCUAAAGACAUGGCUUUUUCAAAAAAAAAAAAAAAAAAGGCAAAGAACAAAAAAGAAACAGGGAAUUUUAUUAGAUGUAAAAUAAUCUCAAUAUGUUGAACUCACUUGGAUUUUGAUUCACAUAAGCUAUGUUAAAUGAUGACAUUUAUGAAAUAAUUGUAAAUAUGAACACCAGUGCCUAAAUAUUUGGCAUUGUUGAAGAAUUAUUGUUAAAAUCUUCAGGUGUGAUAGUGGUAUUGUUAAUAAAUUUUUGUAAAGAGCUAUUUUAUUUUAGAAAUACAUACGGAAAUAUUUAUGAAGUGAUAGGCCACGUGAGACUUGUUUCAAAAUAAUAAGGGUACGAGGUAAGAUUGUGGAUGAAACAAAGUUAUCCAUGUUGAAGUUAGAUGAUGAUAUUGGCUAUAAAAGGAUUUCAUUGCAUUAUUACUCCUACUUUGUAAAGUGCUUGUCUUUUAAAUAUACAUCUAGAAAAAUUGAGAUGAUGAAAAGAUACCAUAAAUGACAUCUGCUUCAAAAUAAUCCAGUUGUGGGGGGAGGGGUAGAGUAGGUGGAUUUACGGAUAAAAUAAGAUCUAUGACCAUGAGUUGAUAUUGAAGCUGAGAGUUCUAUUGCACUAUUCUACUUUCAUAUGUGAUGGACAUUUUCCAUAAUAAAUAGCAUUUAAAGUAAAAAAAAAAAUCACUAUCACUCUGAGAAGUACUAGAAAUUAAGCAUGCAUUUACAACACAAUGUAUUUACCUGGAAAGUCAUAAUUAUAAGUAUAGAGUAAUUCACUUGUGAAGGAAAAAUGCAUUAGGAAACAAUGUUGCCACAGAAGUCUUAUUGAGGUACUGUCCCAGGGUAUCAUUUGGAAUAGCCAGGCCCAUAGCUCAGAGGUAUAAAACAAAGCUUAUCUGUCAUAACAGGCAGAUAUGUUGUAACAAAUCAGCCAAAAAUCUCCCUGGCACAGAAGAUUUCUAGCUCAAGAAGUGCUCUGGAAUUCCUCAAGAACCAGAUUAAUAGAGAAGCCACUGUAUCAAGUCUUUAUUGCUAUGCCAGAGGGAAAGGAGGCUCUGAAGUGCCUCACAUUGGUGAGUAAAAAAUCCAGUCUAGAAAGUCGCUUCUCACAGUUCAUUUGCAUAAAACAGUCAUCUGGCCCUAUUCUGCCACAGGGGCCAGGAGGUACAGUGCCAUCAAAACUCCAGAAGAGAGAAGAACUAGAAAUAUUUACCAAAAAAUUCUGACCCCCUUGGAGUUCCCAUCAUAACUCAGCAGUAAUGAACCCAACUAGCAUCCAUGGUCUCAAUGAGUGGGUUAAGGAUGUUAUUGCCCUGAGCUGUGGUGUAGGUCGCAAACGUGACUUGGAUCCCACGUUGCUGUGGCUGUGGUAUAGACCAGAAGCUGUAGCUCUGAUUCGACCCCUAGCCCGGGAACCUCCAUGAGUCCUCAUUUCACUCUAUCCCCACCAAUGGAGUUUCUUCAGAAUAUAAACAACCUGGCCAAUUAGAUCCAAGGGAAAUAAUGUCUCUUUUGUCUUCUUUUCAUUAUUAAUGAGUUUUAACAUUAAUAAAAUAUGCAGUAGGCAUUUAAAUUUCUUAAUUUGUGAACUGACCAUUCGUACAUAUACUUUUCCCACUUAUCUGUUUAAGGCCUUAUUACUUUCUAUUUCUAGUCUUUGUCCUUACACUGUGCAACAGAAUAUUUUUACCUCAAAUAUGCACUUGUACACAGGCAUCUCUGCUGUGUUUCUUCAAGGGUAGUGACCCCAUUUCAUUUAUCUGGGAGCAACACUGGGCACAGUAGAGACAAUGCAUACUGGGCUUUGUGUAAUUAUUUUUAGGAUUAAACAAGCUAAGCUAAACAUAAACGAGAUAACCUAAGCAAAGCAUCUAACACACUGUCACAUAGCAGAUGCUCAAUAAAUUAUUUUAAUCAAUCAAAAGAAGUUUCACCACUGAAGCAAAACCACACUAUUUCAGCGCUGAGGAAAAUCAAGAUAAAAUAUCUUUGAAAGAUCACAAAUUAUAUUUGUCCAAGUUCAAGAUUUGGGAUUUGAACACUGAUUCAAAUUACAUCUGACUGCGAUACUCUUGAGAUACUACAACUCUGACAUUUUUAAAGACCAGUAUGAAUUCUGAGCUGGUUAAAAUCUUUCGGUAAGUGGUGGAUUCUUUUCCCCAGUCUGUAAUGACACCCUGGCCCCAGACAGACGUCUCUUCUUCCAUUUAAAUUUAUAGGAAACUUCUGGUGAAAAUAGUAAAACACAAGCACAAAUAUGCAUCACAUGAUUGACAUUUGCUUCUCCAGAUUAAUUAGCUUUUGUUUUCAGACAGGAAGGCAGCUGUUCUCCGACCACUGCCAGAAAAGCAGAACUAAAACAACCAGAAGGAAAGCCUGAGCCCUUGGGAAUGGCCAAUCAGCUGGAGGGCCUGAGGCACUGCAGUGGGUUAGGAGCAUUUUUUGCUGCCGGGGCGGAGGGGGAGCUGGUUGCAAAACCAGUAUG